Molecule: ribosomal RNA, 506 nt
Filed under: uncultured bacterium
Lineage: Bacteria
Description: partial 16S ribosomal RNA
Rfam family: Bacterial small subunit ribosomal RNA
Source: RNAcentral
AGUGAACGCUGGCGGUAGGCCUAACACAUGCAAGUCGAACGGCAGCACAGGAGAGCUUGCUCUCUGGGUGGCGAGUGGCGGACGGGUGAGGAAUACAUCGGAAUCUACUCUGUCGUGGGGGAUAACGUAGGGAAACUUACGCUAAUACCGCAUACGACCUACGGGUGAAAGCAGGGGACCUUCGGGCCUUGCGCGAUUGAAUGAGCCGAUGUCGGAUUAGCUAGUUGGCGGGGUAAAGGCCCACCAAGGCGACGAUCCGUAGCUGGUAUGAGAGGAUGAUCAGCCACACUGGAACUGAGACACGGUCCAGACUCCUACGGGAGGCAGCAGUGGGGAAUAUUGGACAAUGGGCGCAAGCCUGAUCCAGCCAUACCGCGUGGGUGAAGAAGGCCUUCGGGUUGUAAAGCCCUUUUGUUGGGAAAGAAAUCCAGCUGGCUAAUACCCGGUUGGGAUGACGGCACCCGAAGAAUAAGCACCGGCUAACUUCGUGCCAGCCGCCGCCGUAA